CCUUGAUCUCAAAUCAGGCAGGAUGACCCGCUGAAUUUAAGCAUAUCAGUAAGCGGAGGAAAAGAAACUAACCAGGAUUCCCUUAGUAACGGCGAGUGAAGCGGGAACAGCCCAAUCUGAAAAGCUGGCCGGCCCCGGCGCCGGACCCGCNUUGUAGGUUGAUGAAGCGUUGCCUAGCAGCAGACCUUUCGGCCAAAGUCUCUUGGAACAGAGCGUCAUAGAGGGUGAAAACCCCGUGUGUGGCCGGACGACAUAACAGUCUGUUGCGCCGAUGGUGCGUUUUCUUAGAGUCGGAAUGUUUGGGAUUGCAUUCCAAAGCGGGUGGUAAACUCCAUCUAAGGCUAAAUACUGGCGAGAGACCGAUAGCGAACAAGUACCGUGAGGGAAAGUUGAAAAGCACUCUGGAGAGAGAGUCAAACAGUACGUGAAAUUGCUAGCAGGGAAACGUUGGGCACCAGUACGCGGCGAUCAAUGUCGAUGAUCAGCCGGCCGGUGCGGCGGCGAUUGCGCGGUGCAUCCGCUUCGGGGACGGCCCUAGGGUCGCCCACGCGCAGUCGCUAGCUGUUCGGGCCGGUGCACUCUUCGACAGCCGGGUCAACAUCGGUUGCCGGCGUCCGACAAGCAACCGGGCAAGGUAGCAGCCGGACAGUCCUUGCGGCUGUUCAGCUGAACUUAUAGGCCUGGUGAGCGAGGACGGCGGCGACCGAGGAGGCAUCGCGGUGCGCGCAUCCCCCGGGGUGCAGGGCGCACCNNCGCGGUUGAGGUUGCCCGUGGCGCUGGACAGCUUGCUGACCAGGGUUCAUUUUAGCACGCUUCGGCGUGUUAGCGGCGGCCGCUGCGCCGGUGCAAAGCCACUAGCGCGCCCAUGACGGUUGACGAAAUGGUUCUCAACGACCCGUCUUGAAACACGGACCAAG
This 917-nucleotide ribosomal RNA is filed under the name Syncephalis sp. KL-2016a. Its description in RNAcentral is "eukaryotic LSU rRNA". It matches the Rfam family "Eukaryotic large subunit ribosomal RNA", at positions 1 to 670 of the family's 3401-position model. The record is from RNAcentral. Lineage: Eukaryota; Fungi; Zoopagomycota; Zoopagomycetes; Zoopagales; Piptocephalidaceae.